This 419-nucleotide ribosomal RNA is filed under the name bacterium. RNAcentral's name for it is "partial 16S ribosomal RNA". It matches the Rfam family "Bacterial small subunit ribosomal RNA", at positions 355 to 776 of the family's 1533-position model. The record is from RNAcentral.
UGGGGGAUAUUGCACAAUGGGCGAAAGCCUGAUGCAGCGACGCCGCGUGGGGGAUGAAGGCCUUCGGGUUGUAAACUUCUUUUGCUCUGAACAAGGCGCACCAUGGGGUGUGUUGAGUGUAGGGGUUGAUUAGCGCCGGCUAACUACGUGCCAGCAGCCGCGGUAAUACGUAGGGCGCGAGCGUUGUCCGGAAUUAUUGGGCGUAAAGGGCUUGUAGGUGGCUGGGUGCGUCUGUCGUGAAAGCUCAUGGCUUAACUGUGGGUUUGCGGUGGGUACGGGCUGGCUUGAGUGCAGUAGGGGAGGCUGGAAUUCCUGGUGUAGCGGUGGAAUGCGCAGAUAUCAGGAGGAAUACCGGUGGCGAAGGCGGGUCUCUGGGCUGUUACUGACACUGAGGAGCGAAAGCAUGGGGAGCGAACAGG